Molecule: ribosomal RNA, 465 nt
Filed under: uncultured bacterium
Lineage: Bacteria
Description: partial 16S ribosomal RNA
Rfam family: Bacterial small subunit ribosomal RNA
Source: RNAcentral
GACGAACGCUGGCGGCGUGCUUAACACAUGCAAGUCGAACGGAAAGGCCCUGCUUGCAGGGUACUCGAGUGGCGAACGGGUGAGUAACACGUGGGUGAUCUGCCCUGCACUUCGGGAUAAGCCUGGGAAACUGGGUCUAAUACCGGAUAGGAGCCAUUUUUAGUGUGAUGGUUGGAAAGUUUUUUCGGUGUAGGAUGAACUCGCGGCCUUUCAGCUUGUUGGUGGGGUAUUGGCCUACCAAGGCGGCGCCGGGAAGCCGGCCUGAGAGGGUGGACGGCCACAUUGGGACUGAGAUACGGCCCAGACUCCUACGGGAGGCAGCGGUGGGGAAUAUUGCACAAUGGGCGCAAGCCUGAUGCAGCGACGCCGCGUGGGGGAUGACGGCCUUCGGGUUGUAAACUCCUUUCGCUAGGGACGAAGCUUUUUGUGACGGUACCUAGAUAAGAAGCACCGGCUAACUACGUG